Arachis ipaensis is the source of this 342-nucleotide non-coding RNA. Lineage: Eukaryota; Viridiplantae; Streptophyta; Magnoliopsida; Fabales; Fabaceae. The record is from RefSeq and is a predicted model, not a curated record.
AUUAGUAAGUGUCCUUUUCAUCUGUUAUCUCCAUCUAUUUUAAUUUUUCCUUUUGAGUUUAUCUGGAUACAAACUAGCCAUACCAGGCCUUAUAGACAAUUGUUUUUGUUAUUACUAUCAAUGUUUAAGUAUGGCUUGAAGGGUGUGAGCAAUGAUGUGGAGAGAUGAGAUGCUUGUCACUGUGUGUGGAGGAAAGAAUGCGUGGACUGAUAAGUAACCUGAUUAGAAUAUCAAAACAGCGGGUUGAUUUUGAGAAGACAAGACAUCGGACUGUUGUCACCUUAGAUGUUCAGCCGCAAAUCAUGACAAUAAAUAGGAAAGUAAGAGAGGAGUGGGAGAAAA